AUUGAACGCUGGCGGCAGGCCUAACACAUGCAAGUCGAACGGUAACAGGAAGCAGCUUGCUGCUUUGCUGACGAGUGGCGGACGGGUGAGUAAUGUCUGGGAAACUGCCUGAUGGAGGGGGAUAACUACUGGAAACGGUAGCUAAUACCGCAUAACGUCGCAAGACCAAAGAGGGGGACCUUCGGGCCUCUUGCCCUCGGAUGUGCCCAGAUGGGAUUAGCUAGUAGGUGGGGUAAAGGCUCACCUAGGCGACGAUCCCUAGCUGGUCUGAGAGGAUGACCAGCCACACUGGAACUGAGACACGGUCCAGACUCCUACGGGAGGCAGCAGUGGGGAAUAUUGCACAAUGGGCGCAAGCCUGAUGCAGCCAUGCCGCGUGUAUGAAGAAGGCCUUCGGGUUGUAAAGUACUUUCAGCGGGGAGGAAGGGAGUAAAGUUAAUACCUUUGCUCAUUGACGUUACCCGCAGAAGAAGCACCGGCUAACUCCGUG
RNAcentral lists this ribosomal RNA (490 nucleotides) under uncultured bacterium. Its description in RNAcentral is "partial 16S ribosomal RNA". It matches the Rfam family "Bacterial small subunit ribosomal RNA", at positions 30 to 507 of the family's 1533-position model. The record is from RNAcentral.